Long non-coding RNA from Neopsephotus bourkii (Bourke's parrot), 739 nucleotides. RefSeq lists it as uncharacterized. The transcript has 3 exons. NCBI's taxonomy places the organism in Eukaryota, Metazoa, Chordata, Aves, Psittaciformes, Psittacidae. The record is from RefSeq and is a predicted model, not a curated record.
UGUGAAGAUGAGGGGGUGGUGUGUAAAGGGAAGUCUUAAAAGAUGUAUGUAUAACAAAUUAUAGGCCAUCUUUAUGCAAUCUCAAGGACGGAAUGGUAAUAUAUAAUUCUGUCAGAACAAGAUGUGUAAAUGAGGUUGUUCAAACUUCAAGGGUGCUCAGGCACUUUGAUAUGAGUUUUCACACUAUACCAAGUUACUUUUUAAAACACUGGAAGUAAGUUUAGCACCAAUUCUGAUCUGAACUACCACCAAGAGUGUCUGGAAUUUUGGGCUGAGAAUGAAAAAUCAGACUAGUGCAAAAGACAUUUUUAUCAUGGAACAGACCUUUUCUGCCAGGAAAGAUCCCAUCUUCUGUCUUGGAUCUAACAAAUAUAUGAUCGCAAAGGAUAGUUGGUUCAGCUUGCCUAUCCACUAGAAAGCUACCACACUAAAAAUAGUAGUAGUGACAGAUCAGAGAGCUGAUCUAACUUGCUGUACAAUUGCACAGUGGUUUGAUCUUGUAUCCAGAGAAACCUCCCUGGGCCUGAAUUGGUGCAGAGGAAGCUUCCCUUCUAGCGACACCCUUGUAGUUGGACCAGCUUAAAUAUGAAAAGAAGCAGCAUGCUUGAGGAUAAGGUUUGAUUUGCAGGACAAGCCUACCUUCCUAAACAGAAGAGCUGUGGCUCUAAACUCAGUUUUUGUCAGAUUAAGAUAUAAAUGUAUUUUCAACUCCAAAUAGUGGUGUCCCUUUUUAUGUAUC